GAGACCACCACGGUGACUUGCAAGCAACUCACUGCACUUAGGCACUGGACUACCUGAAUUUCUAAUUCAGUGACGGAAGGCUGCUGGGUGUAGUCAAGUACUUGACUUGUCAGUGCGUGUGUCAAGAUGGGAUUGACCACUCCAGUUUAGGAGCUGUAUACAGUCAUGUUUCAAUUUAGCAAAACCUUGGCCAGGGUAGUCUUUGUGAGGAGUCACAGGACUGUUUGAGUUGAGCAUGAUUCAGAUGAUCUAAUCAAGGUUGACAGUUUAACCCUGAGUCAUCCUAAACACAGAGGUCAAAAGGAUGAAUUAUACAGUAACCAUAUUCACAUAGGUUCU
This 339-nucleotide long non-coding RNA is filed under the name Elaeis guineensis (African oil palm). Its description in RNAcentral is "long non-coding RNA (EGUI_LNC077440)". Lineage: Eukaryota; Viridiplantae; Streptophyta; Magnoliopsida; Arecales; Arecaceae. The record is from RNAcentral.